UUUUUCUGUAUAAAUAAGCCUCAGAGUUUGAAAAUGAACUAGUUUUGAUCAGAAAACCAAAAAUGAAGAUUUAUCUUUGCAUUGUAUUACUUGGUAUUGGCACCAUAGUUAUGGGCCAGUUAAGACAUUUCCCAGGUGGUGACAAUCAACACGGAAAACUUUACACCUCGCCACCGUACCAUCCCCGAAAACUUCCUACUCAUAAGCCACUUAUCAAUGAGCUAAAUAACCGCCAACUAGCAGCUCCUAAAUCUGCAACCUCACCGAAAUAAGUUUUGUAAAUAUUUCAAACACAAAUAAAUAAAAAAAAAACUAAAUAUG
This is a long non-coding RNA of Tribolium castaneum (red flour beetle), 321 nucleotides long. RefSeq lists it as uncharacterized. NCBI's taxonomy places the organism in Eukaryota, Metazoa, Arthropoda, Insecta, Coleoptera, Tenebrionidae. The transcript is spliced from 3 exons. The record is from RefSeq and is a predicted model, not a curated record.